CCUACGGGAGGCAGCAGUGGGGAAUUUUGGACAAUGGGCGAAAGCCUGAUCCAGCAAUGCCGCGUGAGUGAAGAAGGCCUUCGGGUUGUAAAGCUCUUUUGUCAGGGAAGAAACGGUGAGAGCUAAUAUCUCUUGCUAAUGACGGUACCUGAAGAAUAAGCACCGGCUAACUACGUGCCAGCAGCCGCGGUAAUACGUAGGGUGCAAGCGUUAAUCGGAAUUACUGGGCGUAAAGCGUGCGCAGGCGGUUUUGUAAGUCUGAUGUGAAAUCCCCGGGCUCAACCUGGGAAUUGCAUUGGAGACUGCAAGGCUAGAAUCUGGCAGAGGGGGGUAGAAUUCCACGUGUAGCAGUGAAAUGCGUAGAUAUGUGGAGGAACACCGAUGGCGAAGGCAGCCCCCUGGGUCAAGAUUGACGCUCAUGCACGAAAGCGUGGGGAGCAAACAGGAUUAGAUACCCUGGUAGUCCACGCCCUAAACGAUGUCUACUAGUUGUCGGGUCUUAAUUGACUUGGUAACGCAGCUAACGCGUGAAGUAGACCGCCUGGGGAGUACGGUGCAAGNUUAAAACUCAAAUGAAAUUGACGG
RNAcentral lists this ribosomal RNA (585 nucleotides) under uncultured bacterium. RNAcentral's name for it is "bacterial SSU rRNA". It matches the Rfam family "Bacterial small subunit ribosomal RNA", at positions 338 to 916 of the family's 1533-position model. The record is from RNAcentral.